AACGAACGCUGGCGGCAUGCCUAACACAUGCAAGUCGAACGAGACCUUCGGGUCUAGUGGCGCACGGGUGCGUAACGCGUGGGAACCUGCCCUUAGGUUCGGAAUAACUCCCCGAAAGGGGUGCUAAUACCGGAUAAUGUCUUCGGACCAAAGAUUUAUCGCCUUUGGAUGGGCCCGCGUUGGAUUAGCUAGUUGGUAGGGUAAAAGCCUACCAAGGCGACGAUCCAUAGCUGGUCUGAGAGGAUGACCAGCCACACUGGGACUGAGACACGGCCCAGACUCCUACGGGAGGCAGCAGUGGGGAAUAUUGGACAAUGGGCGAAAGCCUGAUCCAGCAAUGCCGCGUGAGUGAUGAAGGCCUUAGGGUUGUAAAGCUCUUUUACCCGGGAUGAUAAUGACAGUACCGGGAAAAUAAGCUCCGGCUAACUCCGUG
RNAcentral lists this ribosomal RNA (433 nucleotides) under uncultured bacterium. RNAcentral describes it as "partial 16S ribosomal RNA". It matches the Rfam family "Bacterial small subunit ribosomal RNA", at positions 29 to 507 of the family's 1533-position model. The record is from RNAcentral.